Small nucleolar RNA from Laticauda laticaudata (blue-ringed sea krait), 100 nucleotides. Its record names the gene U3. It matches the Rfam family "Small nucleolar RNA U3". Rfam says of the family: Small nucleolar RNAs (snoRNAs) are involved in the processing and modification of rRNA in the nucleolus. There are two main classes of snoRNAs: the box C/D class, and the box H/ACA class. The record is from Ensembl. Lineage: Eukaryota; Metazoa; Chordata; Lepidosauria; Squamata; Elapidae.
AAGACUAUACUUUCAGGGAUCAUUUCUAUAGUAUCCAACUAGAGAAAUGCACUCAAACACUGAAGACUUUCAAGAAGAGACUGGAUUGCCGUCUGUCAGA